This 632-nucleotide ribosomal RNA is filed under the name Acinetobacter sp. EVA10. Its description in RNAcentral is "bacterial SSU rRNA". It matches the Rfam family "Bacterial small subunit ribosomal RNA", at positions 30 to 656 of the family's 1533-position model. Lineage: Bacteria; Pseudomonadati; Pseudomonadota; Gammaproteobacteria; Moraxellales; Moraxellaceae. The record is from RNAcentral.
UGAACGCUGGCGGCAGGCUUAACACAUGCAAGUCGAGCGGAGAGAGGUAGCUUGCUACUGAUCUUAGCGGCGGACGGGUGAGUAAUGCUUAGGAAUCUGCCUAUUAGUGGGGGACAACAUCUCGAAAGGGAUGCUAAUACCGCAUACGUCCUACGGGAGAAAGCAGGGGAUCUUCGGACCUUGCGCUAAUAGAUGAGCCUAAGUCGGAUUAGCUAGUUGGUGGGGUAAAGGCCUACCAAGGCGACGAUCUGUAGCGGGUCUGAGAGGAUGAUCCGCCACACUGGGACUGAGACACGGCCCAGACUCCUACGGGAGGCAGCAGUGGGGAAUAUUGGACAAUGGGGGGAACCCUGAUCCAGCCAUGCCGCGUGUGUGAAGAAGGCCUUAUGGUUGUAAAGCACUUUAAGCGAGGAGGAGGCUACUUUAGUUAAUACCUAGAGAUAGUGGACGUUACUCGCAGAAUAAGCACCGGCUAACUCUGUGCCAGCAGCCGCGGUAAUACAGAGGGUGCAAGCGUUAAUCGGAUUUACUGGGCGUAAAGCGCGCGUAGGCGGCUAAUUAAGUCAAAUGUGAAAUCCCCGAGCUUAACUUGGGAAUUGCAUUCGAUACUGGUUAGCUAGAGUGUGGGAGAG